Small nucleolar RNA from Marmota marmota marmota (Alpine marmot), 132 nucleotides. The record is from Ensembl. NCBI's taxonomy places the organism in Eukaryota, Metazoa, Chordata, Mammalia, Rodentia, Sciuridae.
AGUGUCACUCCCACUGAGAAUGGGCAUCAUUGACAGGGGCUCCAGGACUGUAAAUGGUCUAAGCUGAGACCCAGGGUACACUUCCACCAGAGCCAGUGUGUUGCAAUGGUGACCAGGAGACCUGUGAUGUUU